Molecule: ribosomal RNA, 338 nt
Filed under: uncultured bacterium
Lineage: Bacteria
Description: bacterial SSU rRNA
Rfam family: Bacterial small subunit ribosomal RNA
Source: RNAcentral
AACGAACGCUGGCGGCGUGGAUAAGACAUGCAAGUCGAACGCUGAUUUCAGGGUAGCAAUAUUCUGGAGUCGGAGUGGCGCAAGGGUGCGUAACACGUGGGUAAUUUGCCGUGAAGUUGGGGAUAACUCGCUGAAAGGCGAGCUAAUACCGAUGUGAUCAUUGGAAGGCAUCUUCUGAUGAUUGAUGUUGGGGACCGCAAGGCCUGACGCUUCACGAUAAGCCCGCGGCCUAUCAGCUAGUUGGUGAGGUAACGGCCCACCAAGGCUUAGACGGGUAGCUGGUCUGAGAGGACGACCAGCCACACUGGAACUGAGACACGGUCCAGACACCUACGGGU